UCCCAAUAAGGAAGGGAGUGUCUGUUAUAACAGCCAGGAGGCUGGCGUGAUGGAUCCCCUUUGUGCAUCCCAACGGUCUUAGUCGCGUCUGAGAUGCAGACGUGCAGAAGUUGGAGCGUUGGCUUUACAGAUGUGUCCCUGCGGUCACUUAGCUCUGUGGUUUCUGGGCCCACGCAUGAAUGGUGAGGAAGAACACGAUGGUGGGAACAGUGUGUGGCAGAGGAGGACACACGCCCCAUUGUGUACAGAAA
Chionomys nivalis (European snow vole) is the source of this 251-nucleotide long non-coding RNA. RefSeq lists it as uncharacterized. The record is from RefSeq and is a predicted model, not a curated record. The transcript is spliced from 3 exons. NCBI's taxonomy places the organism in Eukaryota, Metazoa, Chordata, Mammalia, Rodentia, Cricetidae.